UACGAGUGCUCCAAGCGUUAUCCGGAAUCAUUGGGCGUAAAGGGUGUGUAGGCGGUUGUGGUAGUCUUUUGUUAAAUUCUUCGGCUUAACCGGGGGCAUGCGAAAGAAACGGCACAACUAGAGGAUGCGAGAGGUGAAUGGAACUCAUGGAGUAGGGGUGAAAUCCGUUGAUAUCAUGGGGAACACCAAAAGCGAAGGCAAUUCACUGGCGCACUCCUGACGCUGAAACACGAAAGCGUAGGUAGCGAAUGGG
This 253-nucleotide ribosomal RNA is filed under the name uncultured bacterium. RNAcentral describes it as "partial 16S ribosomal RNA". It matches the Rfam family "Bacterial small subunit ribosomal RNA", at positions 524 to 776 of the family's 1533-position model. The record is from RNAcentral.